AUUGAACGCUGGCGGCAGGCUUAACACAUGCAAGUCGAGCGGGGUGAUGGUGCUUGCACUAUCACUUAGCGGCGGACGGGUCAGUAAUGCUUAGGAAUCUGCCUAUUAGUGGGGGACAACAUCUCGAAAGGGAUGCUAAUACCGCAUACGUCCUACGAGAGAAAGCAGGGGAUCACUUGUGACCUUGCGCUAAUAGAUGAGCCUAAGUCGGAUUAGCUAGUUGGUGGGGUAAAGGCCUACCAAGGCGACGAUCUGUAGCGGGUCUGAGAGGAUGAUCCGCCACACUGGGACUGAGACACGGCCCAGACUCCUACGGGAGGCAGCAGUGGGGAAUAUUGGACAAUGGGGGGAACCCUGAUCCAGCCAUGCCGCGUGUGUGAAGAAGGCCUUAUGGUUGUAAAGCACUUUAAGCGAGGAGGAGGCUCUUUUGGUUAAUACCCAAGAUGAGUGGACGUUACUCGCAGAAUAAGCACCGGCUAACUCUGUGCCAGCCGCCGCAGUAA
RNAcentral lists this ribosomal RNA (503 nucleotides) under uncultured bacterium. RNAcentral's name for it is "partial 16S ribosomal RNA". It matches the Rfam family "Bacterial small subunit ribosomal RNA", at positions 30 to 523 of the family's 1533-position model. The record is from RNAcentral.